GGAUAGCUAGCUUAGUGGUAGAGCAUGUGCUUAGCAUGCAUGAGGUCCUGGGUUCAAUCUCCAGGACCUCCA
RNAcentral lists this transfer RNA (72 nucleotides) under Camelus bactrianus (Bactrian camel). It matches the Rfam family "tRNA". From Rfam's summary of the family: Transfer RNA (tRNA) molecules are approximately 80 nucleotides in length. Their secondary structure includes four short double-helical elements and three loops (D, anti-codon, and T loops). Further hydrogen bonds mediate the characteristic L-shaped molecular structure. tRNAs have two regions of fundamental functional importance: the anti-codon, which is responsible for specific mRNA codon recognition, and the 3' end, to which the tRNAs corresponding amino acid is attached (by aminoacyl-tRNA synthetases). tRNAs cope with the degeneracy of the genetic code in two manners: having more than one tRNA (with a specific anti-codon) for a particular amino acid; and 'wobble' base-pairing, i.e. permitting non-standard base-pairing at the 3rd anti-codon position. The record is from Rfam by way of RNAcentral. Lineage: Eukaryota; Metazoa; Chordata; Mammalia; Artiodactyla; Camelidae. RNAcentral also lists the same sequence under 3 other names.